GUGUGUGUGUGUUUGUGCGCAUGUUAGAUUUUCAUCUCUCCAUCCCUUAUUCUUUUAUAUAUCAUGUAGCUUCUCAAGUUAGCUGUGCAGAUGUUAAAUUUGUUGUCACAAUUUCCAUGUGUCUCUUCCUCUUUUAAUUUCUUCCUUUUUUCCUUUUUUUGGGUUUAUUCUUUUCCUAUGGAUCGAGGGAUGAUUUAAGCCUAUGCCCACAUGUCCAAAAUAGUUUCUGCUCAUUGCCUUUGCUAUCGUGCUGUUGAACGGACGGAUCCGGAGUGUUUGGAAAAGUUCCAGAAGAUACA
RNAcentral lists this unclassified non-coding RNA (299 nucleotides) under Hevea brasiliensis (rubber tree). Lineage: Eukaryota; Viridiplantae; Streptophyta; Magnoliopsida; Malpighiales; Euphorbiaceae. The record is from RNAcentral.